CCUCAGUGCCUGACAAAUUGUAGACACUUAGAAUAUGUCUCUCAACUAAUCCUGAUAGGUUUCUCACAGUAAUCUCAAGGCGAUCCAGGCAAAACACAAGCUUUCUUUAAGCCUUUGACGAAGACCACUCAAGCAAAAUGGGUGUUUUAAUUAGCACAUUGUGCUGAACAGUUCAUGUUUGCACACAAGUGAAAAGGGAUUUACACAGAAGAAAGGAGGAAAUCUCCUGCACAGGUUUUCUAGCCAUGAAGAAAUAAAGAUAGUAGCAAUAUUUGUGGUAGCCAGAAUGGUACUCCAAAGAAGUCCAUGGCCAACUCCUGGAAUUGGAAUAUGUAAGUUUACAGAUAUAAUUAAGGUUACUAACCUUAAAAUAGAGAGAUUUUCCUGUAUUAUCUGGACGGCCAAAUCUAAUCACAGGAGUCCUUAAAAGCAGAGAAUGCCCUCCAGCUGGAGGCAAGAGGAAGGUGGAAUAAGAAGUCACAGAGGUUCGAAUCAGGAGAGAGACUCAACCUGCCAUGUUUAGAACUCCUUGGAAAGCAUGAAAAGAAUGCAGGUGGCUUCUAGGAGCAAAUACCAGUCCUUGGCUGACAACCAGUAAGGUAACAAAGACCUGAGUUCUACAACUGCAAGAAACUGAAUUCAAGAAUUAAACUGAAUGAGCUUGGAAGCAGAUUUCUCCUCAGAGGUGCCAAUAAGGAAUACUGCUCUGCCAACACCUGGAGUUAGGCUUUGUUAAACUUUAGCAAAAGAUCCAGUCAUGCCCACUCAGGCAUCUGACCAACAGAAAUUGUGGUACAAUAAAUUUGUGUUGUCUUAAUCUACUAAAUUUGUGGUAAAUUGUUACGGCAGCAAAGAA
Molecule: long non-coding RNA, 856 nt
Filed under: Homo sapiens (human)
Lineage: Eukaryota; Metazoa; Chordata; Mammalia; Primates; Hominidae
Description: HSALNT0031448
Source: RNAcentral